Molecule: long non-coding RNA, 1085 nt
Filed under: Capra hircus (goat)
Lineage: Eukaryota; Metazoa; Chordata; Mammalia; Artiodactyla; Bovidae
Description: lncRNA (ENSCHIG00000006948.1)
Source: RNAcentral
GUUGACGAUGCAAUCAGCAUGCUGAUUAAGGUUGCUUGGUUUUUUACUAAACAUUAACUGAAUGAAAACGGGUAGUCCUUGUUCUGCUUGGGGGGCUUUAAGGAAGCAAAUGGACUUUCAGAACAGAGAUUGUCAAUAAAGGGGAGGGGAGGAAGAGAAGAGGUGAGCAGAUGGUCAAGCAGACUCAUCAGUCAGCUGGGUGUGAUGAUCUAUUGUUGUUGUCCAGUUAUGAUCUGUACUGAAUAUGGAAAGAGGUGAAACAGAGAAUACUCUUCUUGAGCUCUGGAUGUAUCCUCAUGACACAGACCACACUGGACACCAACUCAAAUAUUGGGAGAAGGUUUCACGACCACUGAGUGCAGACGUGCUGAUCACUGGGCCCCCUGAUACACAGCGGCUAAGCUCUCCUCUCAAGCUGGUGGGGCUGGCGCUGCCUUGAAGCGCUGAGAGAUGCCAUGCCAAUUCAUGGCAAGGUCUUUAUUGUUAGAACUCCUGCAUCAUGACAUCUUUAUUCAUGUGAAAAUACAGGAUGAAUUUCAACUAUAUGAUAUUGUUUAUGUUCAUCAGAAAUGUUAUUUGUCUUUACAAAGUCUGGUUUCAAUGAACCGACUAUGUAAUGGAUAUUAAAUAAACAUGGAAUUUUACAUGUUCAUAAUAUUUGGUUUCUUGUUGUGAUUUUGAUGAACUAUACUUUCAAACACUGUCAGUUCAUCCUUAUUUACAAACGAAACAUUUGCUUGUAGUGGAGUGAUAUAGUAACUUGCUUUAAGUCAAGUUUUCUAUUCAAUGUUUAAUGUGAAAUUGAUUCAAAAUGUUCUUUUAGGCCACAUUUACAUUUCCCUCUGUAUAACAUGUAUUAUACUAUUUUAACAAUGUUGUGAGCUAUAUAAACUAAAGACAUUCUAAUUCUGUUUUUAAUGUAUUCUUCCAAGAUAAAUAAUUUAUAAUGCACUAAUAAAAGUAAGGAUCUCAUGUUAAAAGAAUUGUAUGACCUACUGAGAUUGAUCUAUGGAAACUGAUUCUCUUAAAAAUAAUUUCAUGAAAUUAUUUUGUACAAAUUUGACUUUAUUAUAUGAAUUCUUGAC